RNAcentral lists this ribosomal RNA (497 nucleotides) under uncultured bacterium. Its description in RNAcentral is "partial 16S ribosomal RNA". It matches the Rfam family "Bacterial small subunit ribosomal RNA", at positions 28 to 507 of the family's 1533-position model. The record is from RNAcentral.
GAUGAACGCUGGCGGCGUGCCUAAUACAUGCAAGUCGAGCGAACGGACGAGAAGCUUGCUUCUCUGAUGUUAGCGGCGGACGGGUGAGUAACACGUGGAUAACCUACCUAUAAGACUGGUAUAACUUCGGGAAACCGGAGCUAAUACCGUAGAAGAUUUUGAACCGCAUGGGUCAAAAGUGAAAGACGGUCUUGCGGUCACUUAUAGAUGGAUCCGCGCUGCAUUAGCUAGUUGGUAAGGUAACGGCUUACCAAGGCAACGAUGCAUAGCCGAACUGAGAGGCUGAUCGGCCACCCUGGAACUGGGCCACGCUCAUGACUACUACGGGAGGGCGCAGUCGGGAAUGUUACGCAAUAGUCGAGAGCCUGACACAGCAGCGCCACGCGAGAGACGAAGGUCUUCCGAUCGUGAAACCCGGUUACUAGUGAAAAACCUAUGUGUCCGUAGAUGAGCACAUAUUGACGGUAAUUAAUAAGAAAGCACCGGCUAACUACGUG